Non-coding RNA from Pelobates cultripes (western spadefoot toad), 516 nucleotides. NCBI's taxonomy places the organism in Eukaryota, Metazoa, Chordata, Amphibia, Anura, Pelobatidae. The record is from the annotation of a GenBank genome assembly.
GUUGUGGUCAUGCUUGGGCAUUGCUUUGCUCUAAAGCUACAUUUGCCUUCCACUCCUGCAGAAGCCAUUAUGCAGCACAAGAGCUUGAUGAGACCAAGAUAAGUUGUUAUUACAUCCAGGGCAUUCCAGUUUGUAUGUAGUCAUUAUAAGGCUUGGAUUGCCCCUUUUUUAUUCUUUAUCUGUAGUCAACUCAUGAGUGUGAGGAAUCAUGCUCAAUUUAUACAAAAUAAAACCUGAAUAUAUAAAAAGAAAAUGCAGGUAUAGACAAUAAUACAUUUUGUCCAGAAAAAUUUACCCCUAAGUCAAGCUUUUUAUUUUUAAAUCAGUGGCACUCCGAGAUGGACAGGCUUGUGACCGGUGUUGGGAAAGAUGAGCCUUAAGGACAGCUGUACUACCGUGACAAACAUAGGUGUCUACAGUAUGUAUAUCAGCAUGUGGAGUGACAAACAAGGCCAGUGUAUAAAAAAAAGAAAAGUAUUUAAAAAAAAAAGAAACCAGAAUGACAAGGAGUCAAAU